UAAUGAUAAAACUUCAGUUACUCUCUGAAUUUUCCUUUUUUUGAGACUGAAUCCUGUUGCCCAGGCUGGAGUGCAAUGGCAUGAUCUCAACCGCUGCUCACUGCAACCUCUACCUCCCGGGUUCAAGCGAUUCUCUUCAGCCUCUUGUAGCUAGGACUAUAGGCACCUACCAUCACAACCAACUCAUUUUGGUAUUUUUAGUAGAGACGAAACCCCAUCCUCCCAAAGUGCUGGGAUUUCACAGGCCUGAGCCGCAGUGCCCGGCCUCCCAGGCCUUUUAUGCUUGAUGUUUUUUUCAGGGCCCUUCCCAUUGUCAUUUCACAAUCUCAUUGAAAUGUCAGCUUAUGCACUAAAUGCGUGUAAGUUGGGAAUGCCCAAUUUUGUCUAAGAAAAAAGGCCUCCCCCUCCCCCAAAUAAGCACAUUCUUUCAUUUCCUGGGGCUCACCCGAAUGUCUCACACAGGCUGUAAAACAACUACCACCACCUGGCUGGGUGCUGAGGUGGGCAGAUUACCUGAGGUCAGGAUUUCAAGACCAACCUGGCCAAUAUGGUGAAACCCCAUCUCUACUAAAAAUACAAAAAUCUAGCCGGGUGUAGUGGUGGGCUAUUGUAGUCCCAGCUAUUCGGGAGGCUGAGGCAGGGGAACUGAACCUGGGAGGCUGAGGUUGCAGUGACCCGUGAUCCUGCCACUGCACUCCAGCCUGGGUGCCAGGGUGAGACUUUCUCAAAGGAAAAAAGAAGGCUGGGCGUGGUGGUUCAUGCCUGUAAUCCCACCACUUUGGGAGGCCGAGGCGGGUGGAUCACACGGUCAGGAGUUUGAGACCAGCCUGACCAACAUAGUGAAACCCCCAUCUCUACUAAAAAUACAAAAGUUAGCCAGGUGUGGCGUGCACCUGUAAUCCCAGCUACUCAGGAGGCUGAGGCAGGAGAAUUGCUUGAACCUAGGAAGUGGAGGUUGCAGUGAACUGAGAUCAUGCCACCGCACUCCAGCCUGGGCAACGGCGAGACUUGGUCUCAAAAAAAAACACACACACAAAACUACCACCACCUACCCCAAUCGGUUACCCUUUACUUUUCAUGUGACCACCAUGACCUAUUAUGUGUUUUGUUCUUACUUCCCCCACAAGAAUGUAAGCGCUUCAAGUUUAUUCCUUAAUGUUGGAAAAAUGAAUGAAACUGCAAAUGUAGUAGAUCAGUUUUUGGGGAGGUACCAAAGACAAGUUGGUAAAAUACCUUGAUUUUGAAGUGAAAAACGAUGUUACAUUUCAAAGUAUCUUUUCGCCAGGUUAUGGCUCAGGCUUCGAGACCAGCCUGGCCAACAUGGCAAAACCCGGUCUCUACUGAAAAAAAGCGAAAAUUAGCCGGGUGUGGUAGUGUGGGCCUGUAGUCCCAGCUACUCUGAACCCUGGAGGUGGAGGUUGCAGUGAACCAAGAUCGUGCCACCUCACUCCAGCCUGGGCCUCCUAGGCUCAAGUGAUUGUUGUGCCUCAACUACCUGAGUAGCUGGGAUGACAGGUGUGUGCCACCACUCCCAGCUAAUUUUUUUUUCUGUAUUUUUAGUAGAGAUGGAGUUUCACCAUGUCAGCCAGGCUAGUCUUGAACUCCUGGCCUCAAGUGAUCCAACUGCCCUGCCCUCCCAAAGUGCUGGGAUUACAGGUGUGAGCCACUGCAUCCAGCCAAGUUCUAUUCUUUUUUUUUUUUUUUUUGAGACGGAGUUUCGCUCGUGUUGCCCAGGCUGGAAUGUAGCGGCGCAAUCUUGGCUCACUGCAACCUCCACCUCCCAGGUUCAAGCGAUUCUCCUGCCUCAGCCUUCCAAGUAGCUGGGAUUACAGGCGUGGGCCACCAUGCCUGGCUAUUUUUGUAUUUUUAGUAGAGAGGGGGUUUCACCACGUUGGCCAGGCUGGUCUCGAACUCCUGACCUCGUGAUCUGCCCACCUAGCCUCCCAAAGUGCUGGGAUUACAGGCGUGAGCCACCGCAUCCAGCUUCUUGUUCUCUCUUUUAUAUAUAAGUGCCAUUUGCUGAAUCAGAAAACUUUUUGACAAGCAUAUUAAAAGAUUUCAGUUGUAUGUAGUAGCUCAUGCCUGUAAUCCCAACACUUUGGGAAACCAAGGUGGGGGGAUUGCUUGAGUCCAGGAGUUCAAGACCGGCCUGGGCAACAUAGUGAGACCCUGUGUCUACAAUUAAAAAAAAAAAGAAAAAAAAAGUGAGCCGGGCAUGAUGGUGCAUGCCUGUAGUCCCAACCACUCAUGAGACUGAGGUGGGACGAUCGCUUGAGCCCAGGAGGUUGAGGAUGCAGUGAGCUGUGUCACACCACUGGAUUCCAGCCUGGGUGACAGGGUGAGAUGUUGUCUCAAAUAAAAUAUUAAAAAUUGGAUCACCUUAUUCAGCAUUCUGUUGUUUAGCAGUUUUGGAAUUUUAGUUGUUAGUAAAUCUUGACCUUGAGUACACGUUAUUUUGAUAUUCUGUGUGACAAAAUGGGAAGUAUGCAUGAAGCACAUCUGCCAUAAAGUAUGGAUGUCUAGAUUUUUUUUUCCCUAGAAAAAGUAGUUACAAUUGUUUGAGAUACAAGCUGAACUAGCUGCUUGUUUUCACAGAACAUUUUUAGUUUGAAAAAACCUGACAAAUUGAUUAUUCAUAUUUUAGGGGUAAUUUUGGCAGAGAUUUGCUCAAAAAAGAACAAGUCAGCUUGGAAAAAACUGAUGGCAUUUGUUGCCAAUGAUAAAACUCAAGCUUCCAAAUGAAACCUAAAAUUUUGGAAGGCUUGUAUACACUUCUGUGCCCUUAUAGCUUCCUCAGACUUAGACUUUUGUAAUGGGAUUGGUGGUAAUAUUAAUUAAUGGUAUUUUGUUUUAGAUAUUGUAUAUCAAAAUGUGUCAACAUUUGGAAGAUUUGCAUAACUCAGUGAACCAAUAUUUUCCAAAUGAUCAAUCACUGGACUGGUGUUACAAAUAUCACACAUAGGUAAAAGUUCUAUUUAAAUACAAGGUACACCAAUGGACUUUAGAAAAGCUCAUCAAUACGAUUUCAGAAUCCACAUUGCAACUAGCCUUUAAGGAACUCUACUACUUGUCAUAUUUUGGUGUGGUAUCAAAGAGAGUAUCCAUAAUUAUCAGACAAAGCUAUUAAAAUACUCCUCCCUUUUCCAACUUUAUAUAUGAGUGGGGUCAGAUUUUCUUCACAGACUUCAACCAAAACAGCAUAUAACAACAGAUAGGAUACAGAAGCAGAUAUCAGAAUCUAGUGUCUUCUAUUAAGCCAGAAAUAAAAAAUAUUUGCAGAAAUAUAAAACAAUGUUACUCUUCUAUUUUUUUUUUGAAAAUAAUUAUUUUUAAAAUAAAAACAUGGCUGAGUGUGGUGGCUCACGCCUUUGUAAUCCCAGAACUUUGGGAGGCUGAGUAGAAGAAAACAAUUUCAAAAUCACUGAUCAAGACCUUGUUCUCAUUUUGUCUUUUUUUGAAAUGGAGUCUUGUUCUGUUGCCAGGCUGGAGUGCAGUGGUGUAACCUCGGCUCACUGCAAUCUCCACCUCCUGGGUUCAAGUGAUUCUCCUGCCUCAGCCUCCUGAGUAGCUGGGACUACAGGUAUGUGCCACCACACCCAGCUAAUUUUUGUAUUUUUAGUAGAGAUGGGGUUUCACCAUGUUGGCCAGGAUGGUCUCAGUCUCUUGACCUUGUGAUCUGUCUGCCUCAGCCUCCCAAAGUGCUGGGAUUAUAG
This 3713-nucleotide long non-coding RNA is filed under the name Homo sapiens (human). RNAcentral's name for it is "HSALNT0017663". The record is from RNAcentral. Lineage: Eukaryota; Metazoa; Chordata; Mammalia; Primates; Hominidae.